Molecule: ribosomal RNA, 557 nt
Filed under: uncultured bacterium
Lineage: Bacteria
Description: bacterial SSU rRNA
Rfam family: Bacterial small subunit ribosomal RNA
Source: RNAcentral
ACGGGUGAGUAACGCGUGGGAAUCUACCGUGCCCUGCGGAAUAGCUCCGGGAAACUGGAAUUAAUACCGCAUACGCCCUACGGGGGAAAGAUAUAUCGGGGUAUGAUGAGCCCGCGUUGGAUUAGCUAGUUGGUGGGGUAAAGGCCUACCAAGGCGACGAUCCAUAGCUGGUCUGAGAGGAUGAUCAGCCACAUUGGGACUGAGACACGGCCCAAACUCCUACGGGAGGCAGCAGUGGGGAAUAUUGGACAAUGGGCGCAAGCCUGAUCCAGCCAUGCCGCGUGAGUGAUGAAGGCCUUAGGGUUGUAAAGCUCUUUCACCGGAGAAGAUAAUGACGGUAUCCGGAGAAGAAGCCCCGGCUAACUUCGUGCCAGCAGCCGCGGUAAUACGAAGGGGGCUAGCGUUGUUCGGAAUUACUGGGCGUAAAGCGCACGUAGGCGGAUAUUUAAGUCAGGGGUGAAAUCCCAGAGCUCAACUCUGGAACUGCCUUUGAUACUGGGUAUCUUGAGUAUGGAAGAGGUAAGUGGAAUUCCGAGUGUAGAGGUGAAAUUCGUAGA